CCUACGGGUGGCAGCAGUGGGGAAUAUUGGGCAAUGGGCGAAAGCCUGACCCAGCAACGCCGCGUGAAGGAAGAAGGCUUCCGGGUUGUAAACUUCUUUUGACAGGGAAGAGCAGAAGACGGUACCUGUUUAGAAAGCUCCGGCUAACUACGUGCCAGCAGCCGCGGUAAUACGUAGGGAGCAAGCGUUGUCCGGAAUUACUGGGCGUAAAGGGCGCGUAGGUGGGCGCUUAAGUCAGGUGUGAAAACUCCGGGCUCAACCUGGAGACUGCACUUGAAACUGGGUGUCUUGAGGGCAGGAGAGGAAAGUGGAAUUCCUAGUGUAGCGGUGAAAUGCGUAGAUAUUAGGAGGAACACCAGUGGCGAAGGCGACUUUCUGGACUGUACCUGACGCUGAGGCGCGAAAGCGUGGGUAGCGAACGGGAUUAGAUACCCCAGUAGUC
This 442-nucleotide ribosomal RNA is filed under the name uncultured bacterium. Its description in RNAcentral is "partial 16S ribosomal RNA". It matches the Rfam family "Bacterial small subunit ribosomal RNA", at positions 338 to 795 of the family's 1533-position model. The record is from RNAcentral.